AAUUUGGGACAAGGGGGGCAACGCUGUUCCAGCCAGCCCGCGUGUGCGAUGAAUGCCNNNGGGUUNUAAAGAACUUUUGGCAGNGAANAAAAGGCCCUGGCGGAUACCCGGAGCUGCUGACGGUACCUCUAGAAUAAGCACCGGCUAACUACGUGUCAGCAGCCGCGGUAAUACGUAGGGUGCAAGAGUUAAUCGGAAUUACUGGGCGUAAAGCGUGCGCAGGCGGUUUGGCAAGAAGGAUGUGAAAUCCCAGGGCUCAACUUUGGAACUGCAUUUUUAACUGCAGAGCUAGAGUAUGUCAGAGGGGGGUAGAAUUCCACGUGUAGCAGUGAAAUGCGUAGAUAUGUGGAGGAAUACCGAUGGCGAAGGCAGCCCCCUGGGAUAAUACUGACGCUCAGACACGAAAGCGUGGGGAGCAAACA
RNAcentral lists this ribosomal RNA (422 nucleotides) under uncultured bacterium. Its description in RNAcentral is "partial 16S ribosomal RNA". It matches the Rfam family "Bacterial small subunit ribosomal RNA", at positions 360 to 774 of the family's 1533-position model. The record is from RNAcentral.